CUUCAGGAAAAGAGAGGGUUGCUCUGAACAUAGAUCCUGAUACAAGACGCUGCUGAAAUGGAACACCCACAUGUGACGCAGGAUGUGAGGACCAAGCAGGGUGACCUUUGACCUACCUCAGCCUGGGCGGAUUACUAAAUGAACAAAAACCAACAAGAGCUUUCUUAAAUCUCAAUUUGAUCCUUUUUGAACUGAGAGAAUCUGACAGUUGUGAUUUGGAGUUGCCGUAAAAAAUGUGAGUGCAGUUACUGUGACACCUAUUCCCUCAUCUGGAACAUUGCUCAGAAGUCAACAGAGUUUCAAACAAUCCACAUUUCCUCUCAGUACCUUCACAGGUGUCCAUUAGCUCCAGACUUCCAUGUGAAAUGAUUUCUUAAUCCGACAUUCUCUGAGAUAUCUGGGACAUCACAAAGCUUGACUAGUAAAAGGUGAUGUAAAUACAGUCAUUAUUGGCACACAUGCUCUUUACCCUUUGGUCUCUUACAAAAGCUAUUUUAUACUUAUUUUAUUAUUUCUAAGAAUCUGUAGUGCUUUGAAAUUUGAUAAGUAUUUAGUUACACUGCAGAUAAACUCCAGUUUUACAGUUCUUGAAAAAGGAUGGGCCUGAUUCUCUAUCACAAUGAACAGAGGUCAACAAGCCUGACGAGUUUUAUGUACCGCAGAAGGAACAGAAAUUGAAAACCAUAAUGUCUGUUAAGGUAGACUGUUCUUAAUGCCAUGUUUAAUAUCAAAUCUGUAUAUAUCAUGUUCCACAGGACCAAUCCGUA
This is a long non-coding RNA of Cyprinus carpio carpio, 767 nucleotides long. The record is from Ensembl. NCBI's taxonomy places the organism in Eukaryota, Metazoa, Chordata, Actinopteri, Cypriniformes, Cyprinidae.